This 95-nucleotide transfer RNA is filed under the name Thermoprotei archaeon. Its description in RNAcentral is "tRNA-Val". It matches the Rfam family "tRNA". Rfam says of the family: Transfer RNA (tRNA) molecules are approximately 80 nucleotides in length. Their secondary structure includes four short double-helical elements and three loops (D, anti-codon, and T loops). Further hydrogen bonds mediate the characteristic L-shaped molecular structure. tRNAs have two regions of fundamental functional importance: the anti-codon, which is responsible for specific mRNA codon recognition, and the 3' end, to which the tRNAs corresponding amino acid is attached (by aminoacyl-tRNA synthetases). tRNAs cope with the degeneracy of the genetic code in two manners: having more than one tRNA (with a specific anti-codon) for a particular amino acid; and 'wobble' base-pairing, i.e. permitting non-standard base-pairing at the 3rd anti-codon position. The record is from RNAcentral. Lineage: Archaea; Thermoproteati; Thermoproteota; Thermoprotei.
GGGCCCGUGGUCUAGUGGUAGGAUAUGGGCUGUGCCCGCCUGAUGCCGCCCUCACACGGCGGUGGUCCCGGGUUCGAGUCCCGGCGGGCCCACCA